GACGAACGCUGGCGGCGCGCCUAACACAUGCAAGUCGAACGGAGCUGAGAGAAGCUUGCUUUUCUUAGCUUAGUGGCGAACGGGUGAGUAACGCGUGAGUAACCUGCCCUGGAGUGGGGGACAACAGUUGGAAACGACUGCUAAUACCGCAUAAGCCCACGAUCCGGCAUCGGAUUGAGGGAAAAGGAUUUAUUCGCUUCAGGAUGGACUCGCGUCCAAUUAGCUAGUUGGUGAGGUAACGGCCCACCAAGGCGACGAUUGGUAGCCGGACUGAGAGGUUGAACGGCCACAAUGGGAAUGAGACACGGACCAGACUCCUACGGGAGGCAGCAGUGGGGGAUAUUGCACAAUGGGGGAAAACCUGAUGCAGCGACGCCGCGUGGAGGAAGAAGGUUUUCGGAUUGUAAACUCCUGUCGUAAGGGACGAUAAUGACGGUACCUAACAAGAAAGCACCGGCUAACUACGUG
This 468-nucleotide ribosomal RNA is filed under the name uncultured bacterium. RNAcentral describes it as "partial 16S ribosomal RNA". It matches the Rfam family "Bacterial small subunit ribosomal RNA", at positions 28 to 507 of the family's 1533-position model. The record is from RNAcentral.